RNAcentral lists this RNase P RNA (378 nucleotides) under Chloroflexota bacterium. RNAcentral describes it as "RNase P RNA component class A". It matches the Rfam family "Bacterial RNase P class A". Rfam says of the family: Ribonuclease P (RNase P) is a ubiquitous endoribonuclease, found in archaea, bacteria and eukarya as well as chloroplasts and mitochondria. Its best characterised activity is the generation of mature 5'-ends of tRNAs by cleaving the 5'-leader elements of precursor-tRNAs. Lineage: Bacteria; Bacillati; Chloroflexota. The record is from RNAcentral.
CAAGUCGGCCAGGCGGUCGCGUCCCCUCCUUUCAUCCCCCCAGUGGGGGAAAGAGGGGGGCGAGGAAAGUCCGGGCUCCACAGGGCACGGUGCUGGAUAACAUCCAGGCGGGGUGACCCGACGGAAAAGGGCCACAGAAAAGCAGACCGCCCCCUCCCGCUGGGGAGGGGGUAAGGGUGAAAAGGUGGUGUAAGAGACCACCGGCGUCCGUGGUGACACGGGCGGCCAGGCAACCCCCACCGGGAGCAAGGCCAAGCAGGAGCGAGGGGCGGCCCGUCCCAUUCGAGCUCCGGGUAGGCCGCUAGAGACGGCGGGCAACCGCCGUCCCAGAUAGAUGACCGCCCACGACAGAACCCGGCUUAUCGGCCGACUUGGACG